UGCUAACAACUGCCUGAGCGCCUCCGC
RNAcentral lists this small RNA (27 nucleotides) under Bombyx mori (domestic silkworm). RNAcentral's name for it is "ovarian small RNA-34060". Lineage: Eukaryota; Metazoa; Arthropoda; Insecta; Lepidoptera; Bombycidae. The record is from RNAcentral.